This is a non-coding RNA of Heterocephalus glaber (naked mole-rat), 2006 nucleotides long. Lineage: Eukaryota; Metazoa; Chordata; Mammalia; Rodentia; Bathyergidae. The record is from RefSeq and is a predicted model, not a curated record.
UUAAGCUACCAUCUAGAUUUUUUUUUAAUUCAAGGUUUAAAUAUUUGCAAAGGACACAUAUAUGUGUGAAUAUAUUCAUAUAUAUUUUUUGGUACUGGGGAUUUAACUAGUCAAAAGAUAUUUUAAUGUCUGCCAUAUUAUAUAAAAGUGUUUAUUAACAAAUCAGAUCAGUCAUUCUUUCAAGUGAAGUCUGGCUUCAUUUUUUAACUUAGGUAAAUGUGUAAAUACACUUGUAGUCUCACUUCUAAGAGAUGAGGCUUAGGAACUUAUUUGUCCUGAGUUGUCUCCCCAUUAAGAUAAGGCAACACUCCACCUAGGGGUUGGUUAUGAAGCUCUGCUCUGCUGCCCUGGAACUAUGCUUUUUGUUUGUUUUUUGGUACCAGGCAUCGAACUCAAGAACUUGUGCUUGCCAGGCAGGCACAGUGCCACUGAGCUACAUUCCUGGCUCUCCCCUGGGACUCAGAAGAAUCUAGUUGUCUAAAGAAAAGGUGUUUCUGUCUGAUGCCUCAGAGGGGUUCCAACCCAGGAAGGUGCACUUGAUAACACUGUACAGCUCUUCUCUCUUUCUGGAAGAAAAUGAUGCUUUGAAUGUGCAAUAUCCAUUGAAAUGCCAGCAUAUGUCAAAGUGGAUGCUAACAGCUGACAUUCUGAAAAGCCUCUCUGAUGUUCUGCUUAUUUUACCCUUGCUCUUAGUUCCUUCAGUGGGGUGGGGGUAGGGGGGGAGUGGACACAAGGUCUCACUAUGCAGUCCAGGCUGAUACUUUGUAAUCCAGGCUGUCCUUUAACUCCCAAGAUCUUCCUGCCUCAGCCUCCAGAGUAUACACCAUACCCAGCUUCCUUCCGUGGAUGUGCUAAUGUACUUCUCCUGGUUCAGAUACUUAUUUAUAGAUUUGUCUGCUUGGGGGAUUCAAUAGGCAUGGUAGGUUAAAUGGUUUGGAAGAAACCUGAAGGGAACAGGAUUUUUUCUAUAUAUGUAUACUAUUGCAGGAUAUAAUGUCCUUAGUAAGAAAAAGAAAUGUUGAAGAUGUUAAAUGUUUUUUGAGCUCUUCAGAAAAAAAUACAAGCCAACAGGUCAAGAGAUACCCAAACUGUCUGAGAAAUAGGCAAUGUAGGGUUUUCUUACUGUUUCAUAAUUAAGUUUGCAGUUUAUCUUCAAUACUUUUAAUUCUUUAAGCAAUAUAAAUUUCAGUCUUUGAUUUUAGAUUAGUCUUCCUAAAUAUAUAAUACACAUUUUAAAACACAUAUACAUUAGCACUAUUAUUAGCUUUUCUCCUACUUCAUCCUUCAUCUUCCCAACUGUAACCAUUGACAUUAGUUUCUCAUACUUCUAGUUUCUCAUGAGUAAACAAAGUUUCUCUCCUUUUACACAAAAAGUAGCUUACUUAACAGACACCAUUCAGCAUCAUGCUUUUUGCAGUUAAACAUUUCUAAGAGAUUUUUUUCCAUUAGGUCAGUAUUCUUAAGUGGCAGAAAAGGGAAUAGAAAUCAAAUUGUGAAAUAAAUCUUUGUAACUUCAUGCCAUAAAAAUAAAAAUGUGAGGGGCUGGGGAUUUAACUCAGUGGCUCCAGCUCCUGCCUCAAAAGCACAAGGUCCUGAGUUCGAUCCCCGGUAGCAAAAAAAAAAAAAAAAUGUGUAGGAUCUUUAAAAAAUGGAAUAAUGUGUAAAAGUAUGGGAGUCAUACUUUUUGCUUGUUUUUAAAUCUUUUAUGAUGAUAAAUUCAAAUAAAGUUUUUACUUUUAGCAGCUCUUUAAUUGUUGUAUGUCUUCACAAUGUGUGCAAACACCUGCAUUUAUUUUCUUAAGUGUGUAACUGAGGCCGACAGAUUAAAUGCCAUGGUAGUCUUGGAACUGGGAUGCAGGCUGCAAUUCCCAAUGUGAGAUGAGGCUUUUAUAGAGAAACAAGCAUACUGAAGGUCUAUCCUGUGCUACUUGAUCUCAAUCCUUAUAACAACCUUAUGGGGUAGGCAGUAUUAUGCCCACUUUAUAGAUGGGUAAGGAACUAAAAAA